This 468-nucleotide ribosomal RNA is filed under the name uncultured bacterium. Its description in RNAcentral is "partial 16S ribosomal RNA". It matches the Rfam family "Bacterial small subunit ribosomal RNA", at positions 28 to 507 of the family's 1533-position model. The record is from RNAcentral.
GAUGAACGCUGGCGGCGUGCCUAACACAUGCAAGUCGAACGGAAAGGCCCUGCGUUUGUGGGGUGCUCGAGUGGCGAACGGGUGAGUAACACGUGAGUAACCUGCCCUUGACUUUGGGAUAACUUCAGGAAACUGGGGCUAAUACCGCAUAGGAGCUCCUGCUGCAUGGUGGGGGUUGGAAAGUUUCGGCGGUUGGGGAUGGUCUCGCGGCUUAUCAGCUUGUUGGUGGGGUAGUGGCUUACCAAGGCUUUGACGGGUAGCCGGCCUGAGAGGGUGAACGGCCACAUUGGGACUGAGAUACGGCCCAGACUCCUACGGGAGGCAGCAGUGGAGAAUAUUGCGGAAUGGGCGGAAGCCUGAUGCAGCGACGCCGCGUGCGGGAUGACGGCCUUCGGGUUAUGAACCGCUUUCGCCUGUGACGAAGCGUGAGUGACGGUAAUGGGUAAAGAAGCACCGGCUAACUACGUG